AACGAACGCUGGCGGCAUGCCUAACACAUGCAAGUCGAACGAGACCUUCGGGUCUAGUGGCGCACGGGUGCGUAACGCGUGGGAACCUGCCCUUAGGUUCGGAAUAACUCCCCGAAAGGGGUGCUAAUACCGGAUAAUGUCUUCGGACCAAAGAUUUAUCGCCUUUGGAUGGGCUCGCGUUGGAUUAGCUAGUUGGUAGGGUAAAAGCCUACCAAGGCGACGAUCCAUAGCUGGUCUGAGAGGAUGAUCAGCCACACUGGGACUGAGACACGGCCCAGACUCCUACGGGAGGCAGCAGUGGGGAAUAUUGGACAAGGGGCGAAAGCCUGAUCCAGCAAUGCCGCGUGAGUGAUGAAGGCCUUAGGGUUGUAAAGCUCUUUUACCCGGGAUGAUAAUGACAGUACCGGGAGAAUAAGCUCCGGCUAACUCCGUG
Molecule: ribosomal RNA, 433 nt
Filed under: uncultured bacterium
Lineage: Bacteria
Description: partial 16S ribosomal RNA
Rfam family: Bacterial small subunit ribosomal RNA
Source: RNAcentral